UCCUACGGGAGGCAGCAGUAGGGAAUCUUCCGCAAUGGACGAAAGUCUGACGGAGCAACGCCGCGUGAGUGAUGAAGGCUUUCGGGUCGUAAAACUCUGUUGUUAGGGAAGAACAAGUGCUAGUUGAAUAAGCUGGCACCUUGACGGUACCUAACCAGAAAGCCACGGCUAACUACGUGCCAGCAGCCGCGGUAAUACGUAGGUGGCAAGCGUUAUCCGGAAUUAUUGGGCGUAAAGCGCGCGCAGGUGGUUUCUUAAGUCUGAUGGGAAAGCCCACGGCUCAACCGUGGAGGGUCAUUGGAAACUGGGAGACUUGAGUGCAGAAGAGGAAAGUGGAAUUCCAUGUGUAGCGGUGAAAUGCGUAGAGAUAUGGAGGAACACCAGUGGCGAAGGCGACUUUCUGGUCUGUAACUGACACUGAGGCGCGAAAGCGUGGGGAGCAAACAGGAUUAGAUACCCUGGUAGUCCACGCCGUAAACGAUGAGUGCUAAGUGUUAGAGGGUUUCCGCCCUUUAGUGCUGAAGUUAACGCAUUAAGCACUCCGCCUGGGGAGUACGGCCGCAAGGCUGAAACUCAAAGGAA
This 582-nucleotide ribosomal RNA is filed under the name uncultured bacterium. RNAcentral's name for it is "bacterial SSU rRNA". It matches the Rfam family "Bacterial small subunit ribosomal RNA", at positions 337 to 909 of the family's 1533-position model. The record is from RNAcentral.